GGAAAGCUUGUUAAACUCUCCUUUAUCCACCGGCAUUGCUCCUCAACGGGUAAUGCUCCAGGAAUGAAAUAAAACCCGGGAUGACUUUCCAAGCAGAAGAUAGGAGUAUGGAGAUCGCAAUGAAUUGGGAAAAUGCCUGAGGGAAGUUCAGCAUUUCUGUGGUAAGCCUCUGAAAUUGACUUGAAAUCAAUAACGUCAGACAAAUCUACUGGUCUGGGUUGCUUUUUCUUUCGGGUAUUGUCGUAAUACAGCUUGUAUUUCUUUUCAGCCAUCCUGAAAGCGGUUCGCUCUGCAUCUUCUGUGGGACCGUACAUCUUCUACUACCCCUAAAA
Molecule: unclassified non-coding RNA, 332 nt
Filed under: Hevea brasiliensis (rubber tree)
Lineage: Eukaryota; Viridiplantae; Streptophyta; Magnoliopsida; Malpighiales; Euphorbiaceae
Source: RNAcentral